AACGCGAAGAACCUUACCAGGUCUUGACAUCCCUCUGAAGUAGCCUUAGCCGGCUAUGUCCUUCGGGACAGGGGAGACAGGUGGUGCAUGGUUGUCGUCAGCUCGUGUCGUGAGAUGUUGGGUUAAGUCCCGCAACGAGCGCAACCCUUGUGUUUAGUUGCCAACAGGUUAAGCUGUGCACUCUAAACAGACUGCCGUGGAUAACACGGAGGAAGGUGGGGAUGACGUCAAAUCAUCAUGCCCCUUAUGAUCUGGGCUACACACGUGCUACAAUGGUCGGUACAACGGGCAGCGAAAGAGUAAUCUGGAGCGAAUCCUAAAAAGCCGAUCCCAGUUCGGAUUGGGGGCUGAAACUCGCCCACAUGAAGUGGAGUUGCAGUAAUCGCGAAUCAGAAU
RNAcentral lists this ribosomal RNA (396 nucleotides) under uncultured bacterium. RNAcentral's name for it is "bacterial SSU rRNA". It matches the Rfam family "Bacterial small subunit ribosomal RNA", at positions 958 to 1355 of the family's 1533-position model. The record is from RNAcentral.